This 18-nucleotide unclassified non-coding RNA is filed under the name Chlamydomonas reinhardtii. RNAcentral describes it as "small RNA Cre_1714". The record is from RNAcentral. Lineage: Eukaryota; Viridiplantae; Chlorophyta; Chlorophyceae; Chlamydomonadales; Chlamydomonadaceae.
GCCGGCCGACACUGCGGU